This is a long non-coding RNA of Neopsephotus bourkii (Bourke's parrot), 4490 nucleotides long. RefSeq lists it as uncharacterized. NCBI's taxonomy places the organism in Eukaryota, Metazoa, Chordata, Aves, Psittaciformes, Psittacidae. The transcript has 3 exons. The record is from RefSeq and is a predicted model, not a curated record.
UUUUAAAGCAAGCUCCUGGAAAAUGAGCCUCCCCCCUUUGCAGGAGGUGCUGGCCAGGGAGAUGCUUGCACAGGAUGAGCCCUAAAUGCCUGUGCCACAAGGUAAAGAAUUCAGGUUCUCCAUCGAGAUGCUCCAAGUUUUAGUGGCAAUGAGCAAAUCACUGGUGUCCUUGGGAAACAUAAGGACACCCUAAUUGCAGGCAAUUAAAGCAGCCUUAGGAAAAGAAGGGCUGUGUUGAAAUCCAAUCUGGAAAGCAUACCUCUAAAUAGGUGCCAGUUGCCAGUGCUGGAGAAGCGCCCCAGGAGAAAGAGCUGGUGCUGCACAAACCCUCCACAUAGAGCUGGGGCUAGAAGGACCUUCUCCUCUCCUGUGUCCUGGUUACGUGAACACUUCACCUCCUGCAUGCAGGCACUUGCAUGAGCAUGCAGAUCCAGCAGGCUCUUACUGGGGCUCCUGCAUGUGGGAGAUGCUGGGAGCUGAUGAGGGCAGACUGAAUGGAGCAAGUCCAGGGAAAGAAAGUAAUCGAUGCUGGGCUUGCCUUUAGAAUGUUCCCUCUCCCUUUUUGAUGCUGGUGCUCUGUAAAGGUUUGCCUUUGCCAGAUGGGGACUUCCAUUACUUUAGAGCUGUCAGAACAACAGAAGACUUCUUUGAGUCAUUUUCUGUAUCUGACCUUGAAUUACUGGAGCAGCAAUAAACAUUAAGAGCAAUGAGAACAGAGUGAAGCUGUAAUUUUGACAUUAUAACUUGCUGCUCAAGUGUCAAAUAAGCCCUGCUGAAAACACAAAUAAGGGUCCGACCCUGCUGCAGGAUGAAAACAAGCACAAAAGCAUGCUGCCUGGGACUUCCACAGCCCAGCAGCCAGAUGAUGCUCUGAGGCCAUUUGGCACUGAUAAGCAUUGUUUCACUGAGUGCAAUUACAUAUUUCUGUUUAGAAGAAAGAUUCUCCAUCAAAAGCAGCUCCCAAGCCUCUGCUGAUUCAGCCUUCAUUAGAGGCCUCUUACUGCGGACACAGUGAAGUGGUGACUCCUGUGCUUAUUUUCUAUUGCUGCCUUAUCUUUGGCAUCUCAUCUGCAACUUCUGCUGGGUUUAUUUUUUUCUCCACUGCUUUCAUCUGAGUGCAAGAGAAGUGGCUGCUGCUUGGGCUUCAGUUCUUGCAAUGGUUUUUGAUCUGCCUGGGUGCAGGAUAGGAGAAUCUAGCCCCGAUUACAAAACUGCAGGCUAAGUAGGCUAACAAAACAGCAACUGCAAGAAACUGGAUCAGCUUUGCUCACUGAGGUUUUCCUGCUCAAACCGGGGGGGGGGAACAUGCUUUCUCUUUGCAGUCUUGCUUACAAAUCUGAAACUAUGCAAACAAGCCACAGUCAUUGCUCCUACAGGAACUCCAAGGGAUAGUAGCCUGAGUAUCUCCAACCCCGAAGUACCCUCCUGAUGCAGUCAGAUGCUGCUUUUACCAUGCCCAUACAAAUCCAGGCCCCUACUUGAUGAUGGGAUGCAAAUCCAGAGCGAUGGUCAGCCUCAUCUUUGCUAGCACCAGCAGACUAAGAUGCACAAGUGGCUGUCUGGAGCUUCCAUAAAGGAUGUCCAGCAUCUGUCUGCAGCAUCUCCAAUGUAAAGGUGAUUCAGAAGUGCUUUAGCACCCCAGAGACUUUCACAGUGGGAUGAACCCUCUAAAACGUUAGCUGGGUAUUUGGCAUUCCUAGCUUAAAAGGAAGGAUAGCUUCAAUUUUGGCUUUGAGGCAAAAGUAAGCCCUAAAAUUGACAGUCUCAGGCUUCCCCUCUCCAAACUUCUUUCCCCUGAGCAGAAGACACUUGCAUUGACACUUGUCACCAUGCAGAAUACAGUGGAUCUGAAGACAAAGGCAGACUUUUUGCACAGCGAGUAGAUAUGGAAAUUGCACUGAACGGCCUUCACUGCUUUGCUACCCCAAACCAUAAUAUCUAACAUGGCACCGCUUCAGGGUCCUAGAUCUGCUUUCCUGCUAACUUUGCUCUUGCUGAUAACGCUCAUCUCUUCCACUCUUCCCAGACAGGCCCCAAGGAAGGGAGCAAAGUAACUCCACAGGUAAUGAAGCAUUUAAUUAUUUAUUAUUUUAAUUAUAGCUCUGUCCGGGUCCAAAAUGAACAGAACAGUCCUGCAAUUUACCCAGCCACUGGAGACUGACUCAACACUGUAUAAUGAUGCUGCUGGUGACCAUGCUGCCAACUCAUGCAAUGCACCCAUCAUCCCCCAGAAUUAAGUGGCCACAGUCAAGGACAUGCAGGUGCUCUGGGUUUUACCUCUUUGCCUUACUCAGAACUACUCGUGCCACUCGCUGCCAUUGGGAAGCUGUGACCUGGGAGAUGCAGAGCUUUGCUCUGGAGCUGGGGGAGACCUGCUAUGGGCAGGCUGAGCAUUAGAAAUGCAAGUUCAUGGGGUGAAAGCAAGGACCCCAUGGGAAAAGGCUGGGAAUCAUGACCGUGCACAAAGAUCAGGGUAACAGACCCUGCGGUCCUCCAAGUGCAUCCCAAGGGAAGGCUGCAAGCGUCUUCCCACUCCUGUGCUAUUAAAGCUCCCCUCUUUUCCUUCUGUUUCCAACUUAUAAAAGGGAUCUGAGCUUUUGUCAGAUGUGUUUUUUAAAUGCUUUUCCAAGAGGCUUCUAUAGGUGCUGUUAUGGCUCUUCUCAGAAGAGAAAAUGGACAAGUGACAUCAAAUGAAUGUAUCAUCUGGGGGGAAAAAGGCAACUUUUUAGUCAUCUUGUAUACCUGCAACCACAGAACACAGGAUUUGCAAAUCCACCAUGUGACUUUGAAGGUAAUUGUGUUCCAUUAAUGCCAAUACUCUUGGAGGAAUGAAGUGUCUCAUCUCUAAAUUACUUCUGUGGUUUUAAUUGAGUACCAUUUGCUUCACCUUAGCAGCUUGUGUAUGUGUCAGAGGAGGGAAUUCACCCCAAAGGAAGUUCCAUUUUUUUGGGGUGUCUAAAGUAGCAAAAUAAGUGUGGCAAUGAGAAACCUACACUUUUCUUCAGCUGGGAGGAGAAAACAGCUCUUUGCUCCUUUUCCCCUGCAACUUACUGCUUUUAUUGCUAUAAUUACUUCUAUGGUUUGAGCUUUCAAUGCCUGUGUCUUCCCAUCCAUGUUGGGACACAAGGACAUGGCACCCUGCAAAUGCACCCUGGUUUUUGCACCCCCAGAGUCACUGUCUGGGCUCGAAGGGGUAAGACCUGCAAGCAAAUGCCUCCUUAGUGCAAUGCAGAGGGAGUCAAGGCAUCAGCUAGAGGGGCUUGAUGGGGUGUUUUGGUCCCUGCUGUGCAGAGCAGUGAUUCGGUUUAUGUCAGGCAUCGUUUCUAACACUUUCUACCCUAACCAGUUGGUUGAUUAACUCAUGGUUAAUUCCUCCAGCAUGGCAUUACAUGAGAUUUUAAAACCUCUUUAUAAUCGCUUGCCCCCUCUUAAUCCAAAGCAGGUACACAGGCACUUCCACCAUGGAAGUGAUACAGCAAAGCAGGGUGAAAUGGUAAUUCAACAAGAUAAUCCUAAAACAUUAAAAGUAAAUACACAGCAUGGACUGAAAUUGGCUGUCUGCUGCUAGACCAGGCUUUGCAAGGCUUGCACCUCACUGGCCAUGCCACAGCUUUGCUAACCCUGCUCUGGCAGAGCCUGGCCCGUGCCAAGUGCCUGUGUCAUGGGAGUGAGUUAAUAGUGAGAAGCCGAGGUGGUGCUGACAAGGCAAACUGCUCAUUGCACAACCAGCCGAGCCUCGCGCUGCUCACGGGUUAAUUUUAUACCAGCAAAGACCUGCCACCUACCAAGGAUUUAAACCAAAAUAACCCCAACUACCAUUUAGGCUUUACACUGAUCCCACUGAGGCUUCUAGCUGGGAAAAAAAAGAACAUUUCACAUAAAAUGUAAUAUUUAGAAUAGGCACAGGGCCUUUGGUCAAAGUCCAUAGGGUACAUGUUCAGCCAGCACCACGUGGGACGUGGUUCUCAUAAUCUCAGUGUCCUUUUCUCAGCUAGAGCACAAAAAACUGUGUUUGAAACAACAAAGUGAAAGAUAUUAGGAAUGAGAUCAAUGGCCAGAGAUAUUAAAUUAAAUGUAGCUCAUUUCAAUGCACAGUUUAUGAAUUAGUGGUCUAAUGGGAAAUGCUUGCCCCUUCCCUUAUUUCAAUGGAGAAAUCUGAAUAUAUGCAGGUUGCUCCUCUGAUGUGAGUGAAUAAUUCCCCCAUUACAAUGAAUUUGGAAGACUCUUGAAUACAUCUGCUGCCACGAGAGUUCAGAUUUAUAGCCUCAGACGCUGUUUAACUUGUAAUUAAUAUGGACUUCCGCAUUUCUUUUUCCUCUUCCAGAAUAAUAUCCUAUUAGUCAUGACAGCAAAAAAGUGCCCUAUUUGGGCAACGAUUCAACUUCUUCUGAGCUCCCACUGACAUCAAGUCCCACUUGUCCAGAGCAGGGACUUGAUGGAACAAACUGCAGGGACCUGCUGGGGAAAUCUUAUUUGCUGUGGAUUGCUCC